UCACAUCUUUAAAAAGAGAAAGGUUGGGUUGUUAAUGCUGGGUUAAUUCUCCUGCUAAAUCAAAGUUAUCCAGCAAGCUCUUGAAUGAGGAUUGUUGCAGCUGUAUAGCAAGUCUAGCAGACAGUGCCGCCUGCUCAUAGUGGAAUUACUUUGAGGGAUAAAUGGGCAAGGCGCUAUGGCUGACCAAAAACUAUACUAAAGAUGACACGAUCCCACCACCAGUGUAACGAGUUGGAAAGAAUACUGCCCGCCCAAACAUUGAGGCCUGAAUCAUAUUUGAGAAUAAGCUGUAACCAAUAUGGCUGAAUAUCUACCAAGCAACUGAAUAUCUCUGCCAAGAACAAGAUACCUAACCCUUUGUUCUGACUCUGGGGACAAUCACAUCUACUCCCUGGAAUUCAUCAUGAAUGCGCAAGCUCUGGAGCCGGAGACUUUGUUUUACAAAUUCCACUUGAACAUGAACUGUAGGGGUUAGGGGGAGUAGUGUAAAGUGUUUAAUUUUCUUCAGCCCCAUUACUCAGCUUUAAUUGGUAGGGCCGCUGUGAUUUUUAAAAGUAUGGUUGUGCUUCUAAAGUUUAUUUGUGUUCUUUAUUUGUUUUAUAUUUUGCAUGACUUCAUUUUGUAGCUAAAAUGUAUAUCUUAAACAUUUUGUAUUGUCUACAAUUUGUUGUGAUUGGCCAUAUGUCAUUUUAAGAAUGACGUGUUGUAAACACUUAUUUUUGGAAGUAUUUGUAAAUGAACACCUUCUGUAAAAGAAGGUAGAGCAAAAAGGUAAGAAUUAACCCACUGCUGGGUCAAAUGAAUAACAAUAAAACAGUAAAAAGCAACCCACUGCUGGGUCAAAAUAACUUAAUUUUGGGGGUAAAUCAAGUAACCCAAUGUGUUGGGUCAUUCAACAGUGUUGGGUUACAAUAACCCAGUGCUGUGUAUGUACUAUAGUGACCCACCACAGUAUUUUAAGUGAAUGAAGCAUUAGGCUUUUGGUCUGAUAUGUGCUUUUGAACACCUGAGUAAGUAGUAGCUUAAAGUAAAAAUACUUUAAAGUACUACUUAAGGCUAGGGGGCACUAUUCAUUUUUGGAAAAAUAACGUUCCC
This is a long non-coding RNA of Oncorhynchus kisutch (coho salmon), 1095 nucleotides long. RefSeq lists it as uncharacterized. NCBI's taxonomy places the organism in Eukaryota, Metazoa, Chordata, Actinopteri, Salmoniformes, Salmonidae. The record is from RefSeq and is a predicted model, not a curated record. The transcript is spliced from 3 exons.